Molecule: ribosomal RNA, 502 nt
Filed under: uncultured bacterium
Lineage: Bacteria
Description: partial 16S ribosomal RNA
Rfam family: Bacterial small subunit ribosomal RNA
Source: RNAcentral
GACGAACGCUGGCGGCGUGCCUAAUACAUGCAAGUCGAACGAACCGCGACUAAGUGCUUGCACUAAGUCAAGGUGAGUGGCGAACGGGUGAGUAACACGUGGGUAACCUACCUCAUAGUGGGGGAUAACAGUCGGAAACGACUGCUAAUACCGCAUAGGACAUAGGAUCACAUGAUUCGGAGAGGAAAGGUGGCGCAAGCUAUCGCGAAGAGAUGGACCCGCGGGGCAUUAGCUAGUUGGUCGGGUAAAGGCCUACCAAGGCGAUGAUGCAUAGCCGACGGGAGAGGGGGAUAGGCGACCUGGGGAGUGAGACGCCGCCCAAGCGCCUGCGGGAGGCAGCAGUAGCGAACCUGCCGCAAUGGACGCAAGUAUGACGGAACAACGCCGCGUGAGUGAAGAAAAUCUUGGGAGCGUAAAGCUGUGUUUUUAGAGAAGAACAGCGCAUGGAGUAGCUGCUAUGCGUGUGACGGUAUCUAACCAGGAAGCAACGGCUAACUACGUG